CGAUCGAUAAAAAUCAAUUAUUACGUGUCAAUGACCGACAGAAAAAUUUGCUUGAAACUAUAUCUCUAAAAUUGGUUGAAACUGGACAGUUUUAGAUGUAAAAACCGCAAGUUUCAUCGUAGAAACUUAAACUUUUUGUGGGCUUUUUAUUUUUAAUGUGCCCUCAUGCUAGAUUGAGCAAUUGCGUGAAUCAUGUGGCAAAACCAGCGGGCAGCACGACUUGGCCGGUGAGUGCACUUGCACUCUCGUGCCCCUGCACAUUUCCUUAGAUGAAUGACACGAUCGAGCAUCCCCCUUAAAUUUGUACUCGAAGAUUUGCACAUGUUGUCCAACUUAUUAUACCUGGAAAAAAAACUUAUUACAAAGUCUCUCAAAAUUUAAAAAAAGUUUACUACUCAAACAACAAGGUCAUGACACUCAGAACUCAGGUCGAAGUAAUUCUAUCGCUAAACCAACAACCCAAGAACCUUACAUGAUGGUAUUAUGACACCGACACUCCUUGUCAUUUCACACUUUCAUGUCAUGAUGGCACGAGAAGCAUGCUUAACUCUAACACCAUCUAGGUUUGAAGCCUAAGUGAACAAUAGCCGAAUGGUAUGUUCACGAGACAAUUUGUCUCAUUUGAUUACAGUGUAGUGUUUCAGAUUCUGAUUCAAAAUUUUAUCACAAUGUACAUAAAUGUUGUGCCUUUUCACGCAUAUAUUGCAGUUGUUUUAUGAGUUGUAAAUGUUGAGUUGUUGAGUUGUAAAUGGUGCUCCAGAUGCCCAAG
RNAcentral lists this long non-coding RNA (769 nucleotides) under Hordeum vulgare. Its description in RNAcentral is "long non-coding RNA (HVUL_LNC011369)". Lineage: Eukaryota; Viridiplantae; Streptophyta; Magnoliopsida; Poales; Poaceae. The record is from RNAcentral.